UCUUAGGACAUUGCUUGAUAUUGAUUAAAUUAUAUUUUUUUUUAUUAUAGUUUUGUUAUUUAAAAUAUAAUUGGUUAUUGUAAUUUUUAUGAAUAAAUUUAUUUUAUUAUAGUUUAUUAAUAUUGUGAAAGAAUUUUUAUUUAUUUAAUAAAGAAGUUUUUUUUUAAUGUACCUUGUGUAUCAGGGUUGAUUUAUUAAUUUUUAUUUAUUUUUAAUUUUCUCGAAUUUAAAAGAGUUAAUUUAUUAUAUUUUUUACUGUUAAAUAAUUAUUAUUUAUAAAAUAUUAGAAAUGAAACGUUAUUCGAUUUUAAUUAUAUCUAGUUUUUAAAGAAACAGAUUUAAUCUGAUUUUUAUUAUUAUGAUUUAAUUUAUUUUAUAUUUUAAUACUAAAUUUAAAUAAUGGUGGGGUUGAGCUUUUUAUUAUAAUAAUAUAAUUUUUAUUGUUUGUUUUUGUAAUGGAAUUAGAAGUUUUAAUUUUAUAUUGAGUUAUUUCUUAUUUAAGUAAUUAUUAUAUUUUUAUUAAAAAUUUAUUUUUUAUAUUUAAAUAUUAAUUUUAAUUUUUUUUUGUUUAUUAACAAUGAUUUAAUUAGUAAAUAUUUUUUGUUUUUAUUAGGUACAUAUUUUAGGCAAAAUAAAGGAAUUCGGCAAAUUUAUUUUUUACCUGUUUAUUAAAAACAUGUCCUUUUAGUUUUUGGAUUUAAGGUCUAGCCUGCCCAAUGAUUAAUUUUUGUUUAAUGGCCGCGGUAUUUUGACCGUGCAAAGGUAGCAUAAUCAUUAGUUUUUUAAUUGAAAGCUGGAAUGAAGGGCUGAAUAAAAAAAUUACUGUCUCUGUUUUGUUAAAUUUGAAUUUUAUUUUUAAGUCAAAAAGCUUAAAUUUUAAAUGAAGACGAGAAGACCCUAUAGAGUUUAAAAUCUGUUGUUAAAUUUUAUUAAAGGAAUUUUUAUUAAAUUAUUUAAUUUUAUGAGUUUUGAUUGGGGUGAUUAUAAAAUUUAUUUAACUUUUUUUUAUAUAAAAUCAUUUAUUUAUGUUUAAUUUGAUCCUUUUUUAGAUUAUAAGAAUAAAUUACCUUAGGGAUAACAGCGUUAUUUUUUUUUAGAGUUCUUAUCGCUAGAAAAGUUUGCGACCUCGAUGUUGGAUUAAAAUUUUAUUUUGGUGUAGAAGCUUCAAUUUUAUGUCUGUUCGACAUUUAAAAUUUUACAUGAUCUGAGUUUAAACCGGUGUGAGCCAGGUUGGUUUCUAUCUCUUUUAUUCUUUAAUUGUUUAGUACGAAAGGACCAGCUAUUAUUUAUAUUUAAAAUUUAAUUUGAUUAAAAUUAUUGUUUUGGCAGAUUAGUGCUUUGGAUUUAGAAUCUGAAUAUAUAAAUUAUUAU
This 1371-nucleotide ribosomal RNA is filed under the name Scolytinae sp. BMNH 1040319. RNAcentral describes it as "16S ribosomal RNA". The stretch from base 1074 to 1232 matches the Rfam family "Archaeal large subunit ribosomal RNA", at positions 2544 to 2703 of the family's 2987-position model. The record is from RNAcentral. Lineage: Eukaryota; Metazoa; Arthropoda; Insecta; Coleoptera; Curculionidae.